UACGGAGGGUGCGAGCGUUGUCCGGAAUCAUUGGGCGUAAAGGGUGUGUAGGUGGCGCCGUAAGUCGGGUGUGAAAUUUCGGAGCUUAACUCCGAAACUGCAUUCGAUACUGCGGUGCUUGAGGACUGGAGAGGAGACUGGAAUUCAUGGUGUAGCAGUGAAAUGCGUAGAGAUCAUGAGGAAGACCAGUGGCGAAGGCGGGUCUCUGGACAGUUCCUGACACUGAGGCACGAAGGCCAGGGGAGCAAACGGG
Molecule: ribosomal RNA, 253 nt
Filed under: uncultured bacterium
Lineage: Bacteria
Description: partial 16S ribosomal RNA
Rfam family: Bacterial small subunit ribosomal RNA
Source: RNAcentral